Molecule: ribosomal RNA, 774 nt
Filed under: uncultured Arthrobacter sp.
Lineage: Bacteria; Bacillati; Actinomycetota; Actinomycetes; Micrococcales; Micrococcaceae
Description: bacterial SSU rRNA
Rfam family: Bacterial small subunit ribosomal RNA
Source: RNAcentral
AGAGUUUGAUCCUGGCUCAGGAUGAACGCUGGCGGCGUGCUUAACACAUGCAAGUCGAACGAUGAAGGGAGCUUGCUCCUGGAUUAGUGGCGAACGGGUGAGUAACACGUGAGUAACCUGCCCUUAACUCUGGGAUAAGCCUGGGAAACUGGGUCUAAUACCGGAUAUGACUCCUCAUCGCAUGGUGGGGGGUGGAAAGCUUUUUGUGGUUUUGGAUGGACUCGCGGCCUAUCAGCUUGUUGGUGAGGUAAUGGCUCACCAAGGCGACGACGGGUAGCCGGCCUGAGAGGGUGACCGGCCACACUGGGACUGAGACACGGCCCAGACUCCUACGGGAGGCAGCAGUGGGGAAUAUUGCACAAUGGGCGAAAGCCUGAUGCAGCGACGCCGCGUGAGGGAUGACGGCCUUCGGGUUGUAAACCUCUUUCAGUAGGGAAGAAGCGAAAGUGACGGUACCUGCAGAAGAAGCGCCGGCUAACUACGUGCCAGCAGCCGCGGUAAUACGUAGGGCGCAAGCGUUAUCCGGAAUUAUUGGGCGUAAAGAGCUCGUAGGCGGUUUGUCGCGUCUGCUGUGAAAGACCGGGGCUCAACUCCGGUUCUGCAGUGGGUACGGGCAGACUAGAGUGAUGUAGGGGAGACUGGAAUUCCUGGUGUAGCGGUGAAAUGCGCAGAUAUCAGGAGGAACACCGAUGGCGAAGGCAGGUCUCUGGGCAUUAACUGACGCUGAGGAGCGAAAGCAUGGGGAGCGAACAGGAUUAGAUACCCCUGUAGUCC